UGGGGAAUAUUGCACAAUGGGGGAAACCCUGAUGCAGCGACGCCGCGUGAGCGAAGAAGGUUUUCGAAUCGUAAAGCUCUGUCCUAUGAGAAGAUAAUGACGGUAUCAUAGGAGGAAGCCCCGGCUAAAUACGUGCCAGCAGCCGCGGUAAUACGUAUGGGGCGAGCGUUGUCCGGUAUUAUUGGGCGUAAAGGGUACGUAGGCGGUCUAUUAAGUCAGGUGUGAAAGCGUGAGGCUUAACCUCAUUAAGCACUUGAAACUGAUAGACUUGAGUGAAGGAGAGGAAAGUGGAAUUCCUAGUGUAGCGGUGAAAUGCGUAGAUAUUAGGAGGAAUACCGGUGGCGAAGGCGACUUUCUGGACUUUUACUGACGCUCAGGUACGAAAGCGUGGGGAGCAAACAGG
RNAcentral lists this ribosomal RNA (403 nucleotides) under Verrucomicrobiota bacterium. RNAcentral describes it as "Verrucomicrobia bacterium partial 16S ribosomal RNA". It matches the Rfam family "Bacterial small subunit ribosomal RNA", at positions 355 to 776 of the family's 1533-position model. The record is from RNAcentral. Lineage: Bacteria; Pseudomonadati; Verrucomicrobiota.